GACGGCAUUGAUCGCGCCGGUGCCUCGCAAGGGGCUUAAAAUGGGAAUGCGGUGCGGAUGCUUACGGCGUCCAAAUCCGCGGCUGUCCCUGCAACUGUAAGCGGUGAGCGAGACGCAUAUCGACCUUCCGUGACGAUCGGGGGUCAGCCACUGGGCCGGACGCUAAAUCCUGCGAGGCCUGGGAAGGCCAUGUGUCGAGCGAUGACCCGCAAGCCAGGAGACCUGCCAGCGUCUGGUCGCUCUU
Molecule: non-coding RNA, 244 nt
Filed under: Sphingobium sp.
Lineage: Bacteria; Pseudomonadati; Pseudomonadota; Alphaproteobacteria; Sphingomonadales; Sphingobiaceae
Source: RNAcentral